UGGGGAAUAUUGCACAAUGGGCGCAAGCCUGAUGCAGCCAUGCCGCGUGUGUGAAGAAGGCCUUCGGGUUGUAAAGCACUUUCAGCGGGGAGGAAGGCGGUGAGGUUAAUAACCUCAUCGAUUGACGUUACCCGCAGAAGAAGCACCGGCUAACUCCGUGCCAGCAGCCGCGGUAAUACGGAGGGUGCAAGCGUUAAUCGGAAUUACUGGGCGUAAAGCGCACGCAGGCGGUCUGUCAAGUCGGAUGUGAAAUCCCCGGGCUCAACCUGGGAACUGCAUUCGAAACUGGCAGGCUAGAGUCUUGUAGAGGGGGGUAGAAUUCCAGGUGUAGCGGUGAAAUGCGUAGAGAUCUGGAGGAAUACCGGUGGCGAAGGCGGCCCCCUAGACAAAGACUGACGCUCAGGUGCGAAAGCGUGGGGAGCAAACAGG
RNAcentral lists this ribosomal RNA (429 nucleotides) under Chloroflexota bacterium. Its description in RNAcentral is "Chloroflexi bacterium partial 16S ribosomal RNA". It matches the Rfam family "Bacterial small subunit ribosomal RNA", at positions 355 to 776 of the family's 1533-position model. Lineage: Bacteria; Bacillati; Chloroflexota. The record is from RNAcentral.